Molecule: long non-coding RNA, 1213 nt
Filed under: Phasianus colchicus (ring-necked pheasant)
Lineage: Eukaryota; Metazoa; Chordata; Aves; Galliformes; Phasianidae
Description: lncRNA (ENSPCLG00000013776.1)
Source: RNAcentral
UUGUUCUGAGGAUACAGGAAACUGGGAGGUGAUAGGAGCUGAGAGAACUGAAGUGUACUUAUUUGUACAAAAUUCAUGCAGUGGCUGCGUCAGGGAGGCUUCAGGAAAAUAUGCCUGAUACUGGAGGUCCUGGAAGAUUCUUGGAAGUUGGUCUUAGUGUAGAAUGGAGGAGGCAAUUAUCUGAGACAAAGCCUGGAACAUUGAAAGCAUAGUAGGAAUUGUGAGGUUGUGAGAUGUGGGACAAACUCCAAAACAGUGGGACAUGAGGAAAGAGGAAGGAGGAGUACUGUGAGAUACUGCAAACUCAGAAAUACAUGAAGAUGAGGACGUAGCUGUACAACAGCCCAAAGCAGAACAAUUUGGGAUCACUGAAAAAGGAGAAUGAAGAGAUGGGAAGAAUUGCAGUGAAAGAGGAACACAAAUUAUUAUGUCUCAGGUUGGCUUCGAACCCACUGUCGUCUAUGUGAGUAUUGCAAUAGAUCACAACUUCCAUUGCAAAAGGAACUAAAAGACAGUUGCCCUUUCCCUGUGCUCUUAAGGUCGGAUAUGGGGGAAGAAAACCAUGAGCAACCCAACCCUGAGCAGUCAGCCCUGGCCCAAGAUCUGUCUGCUGCCUCAGUCUGGACUCGGUUUGGGAAAGAACUGAGUGGACUUUGGCAACAUCUUCUGUCUUGGUCCAACUCUUGACCACAGGGUGUACAAUCCUUCUUCCCCUAAGUGCCUCCACACAGACGUAACUCUGCUCAUAACCUGAACUCCUUUCUCUGCCCCAGUCCCAGGGUUCUGGACAAUGUGGGAGGGGUAGGGAAUGUACAAAGGGGGUAGACAUGGUGGUAGCAAAGUAGGAUUCUCAUAACACUCUGUUCUCUCAACUUCUCAGAAUCCCCAGGGUGCCCUAGGGGUGAGUAUUUCCACACUCAAAAAGUCCUUCUUACCACCCCACACAAACAGCUCCUGGGUUGUCUCUGCUUUGCACUACAUGGGAUAAAGAGCACCAGGAGCUCCCGGGCAGCCCCACUACAGCUCUGUUUUUCUUGCAGAACCCUAUCAGCUUUGAUGGGAAUCAAGUUGGCUGGACAGAACUUCAGUCAUAAUGGCAACAGCUUCGAGACACCAGUCGUCUAUGACUCCUGAAUAUUUUCCAUCUGAUUUCAAUCUAUAAUCCUAAAUCUACCCUGAUGAUGAAGAAUUUCGCUUAGAAAUGCAGAGAUCC